GGUGUGGCUCAGCUUGGCUAGAGCGCUUGAUUUGGGAUCAAGAGGUCGCAGGUUCGAAUCCUGUCAUCC
RNAcentral lists this transfer RNA (69 nucleotides) under uncultured Butyrivibrio sp. It matches the Rfam family "tRNA". Rfam says of the family: Transfer RNA (tRNA) molecules are approximately 80 nucleotides in length. Their secondary structure includes four short double-helical elements and three loops (D, anti-codon, and T loops). Further hydrogen bonds mediate the characteristic L-shaped molecular structure. tRNAs have two regions of fundamental functional importance: the anti-codon, which is responsible for specific mRNA codon recognition, and the 3' end, to which the tRNAs corresponding amino acid is attached (by aminoacyl-tRNA synthetases). tRNAs cope with the degeneracy of the genetic code in two manners: having more than one tRNA (with a specific anti-codon) for a particular amino acid; and 'wobble' base-pairing, i.e. permitting non-standard base-pairing at the 3rd anti-codon position. Lineage: Bacteria; Bacillati; Bacillota; Clostridia; Lachnospirales; Lachnospiraceae. The record is from RNAcentral.